UACGGAGGGUGCAAGCGUUAAUCGGAAUUACUGGGCGUAAAGGGUGCGUAGGUGGUUUGAUAAGUUAGCUGUGAAAUUCCUGGGCUUAACCUAGGGUGGUCAGCUAAGACUGUUAGACUUGAGUAUAGGAGAGGGUAGUGGAAUUUCCGGUGUAGAGGUGAAAUUCGUAGAUAUCGGGAGGAACACCAGUGGCGAAGGCGGCGACCUGGUCCGAGACUGACGCUGAGGCGCGAAAGCGUGGGGAGCAAACAGG
This 253-nucleotide ribosomal RNA is filed under the name uncultured bacterium. Its description in RNAcentral is "partial 16S ribosomal RNA". It matches the Rfam family "Bacterial small subunit ribosomal RNA", at positions 524 to 776 of the family's 1533-position model. The record is from RNAcentral.